RNAcentral lists this unclassified non-coding RNA (322 nucleotides) under Hevea brasiliensis (rubber tree). The record is from RNAcentral. Lineage: Eukaryota; Viridiplantae; Streptophyta; Magnoliopsida; Malpighiales; Euphorbiaceae.
GGUUUUUAUGAGGCGGACGAAGAAUGUGAAGUGGCCAGCUUUUUGAAGGACUUUCACAACGUUAAGAGGGCCUUUUGAAGGCAUUACCGGGACCAGAGCAGGUGCUGGUGCAGCAGCUGCAGGUGGUGGUGGAGGAGGGGCUGCAGCUGGUGCUUUUCCUGUAGGGGCUGGAGCUGCAGCCGGUGAUUGGGCUAGGAUUGUGGAGCAGUGAAGGAAGAGAAGAAGCAGUGAAAAUGAGAAGGGGGAUUGUAGCUUCAUUUUUGUGGCCUAGCUUGGUGCUCUGAAGCUUUGCUAAACUGUAAAAGCAAUUGCUGCCUGAAAC